UCAGAGGGUAGUUUAAUUUAGAAUUCUAGCUUUGGGAGCUAGUGGUGGGAGUUAAAAUCUCUUCUCUCUGA
This 71-nucleotide transfer RNA is filed under the name Melanogrammus aeglefinus (haddock). Its description in RNAcentral is "tRNA-Pro". It matches the Rfam family "tRNA". Rfam says of the family: Transfer RNA (tRNA) molecules are approximately 80 nucleotides in length. The record is from RNAcentral. Lineage: Eukaryota; Metazoa; Chordata; Actinopteri; Gadiformes; Gadidae.